GGGAACGUGCCUUCUGGUUCGGAAUAACUCAGGGAAACUUGAGCUAAUACCGGAUACGCCCUUUUGGGGAAAGGUUUACUGCCGGAAGAUCGGCCCGCGUCUGAUUAGCUAGUUGGUGGGGUAACGGCCUACCAAGGCGACGAUCGGUAGCUGGUCUGAGAGGAUGAUCAGCCACACUGGGACUGAGACACGGCCCAGACUCCUACGGGAGGCAGCAGUGGGGAAUAUUGGACAAUGGGCGCAAGCCUGAUCCAGCCAUGCCGCGUGAGUGAUGAAGGCCUUAGGGUUGUAAAGCUCUUUUAUCCGGGACGAUAAUGACGGUACCGGAGGAAUAAGCCCCGGCUAACUUCGUGCCAGCAGCCGCGGUAAUACGAAGGGGGCUAGCGUUGCUCGGAAUCACUGGGCGUAAAGGGCGCGUAGGCGGUCUUUUAAGUCGGGGGUGAAAGCCUGUGGCUCAACCACAGAAUUGCCUUCGAUACUGGGAGACUUGAGUUCGGAAGAGGUUGGUGGAACUGCGAGU
RNAcentral lists this ribosomal RNA (520 nucleotides) under uncultured bacterium. RNAcentral's name for it is "bacterial SSU rRNA". It matches the Rfam family "Bacterial small subunit ribosomal RNA", at positions 120 to 674 of the family's 1533-position model. The record is from RNAcentral.